This is an unclassified non-coding RNA of Actinia tenebrosa (Australian red waratah sea anemone), 1335 nucleotides long. The record is from RefSeq and is a predicted model, not a curated record. NCBI's taxonomy places the organism in Eukaryota, Metazoa, Cnidaria, Anthozoa, Actiniaria, Actiniidae.
AGUAGGUAUUUCCCAAGAUACAGUUGAAUGAAUGUACAUGUACUAUGCAAUGCCUCGGUUUGAUUACACAAAGUGUUAUGAGUGUCAUGGUUGUCUUACAGGAGAUUCCUGAAAGGGGGUCGUACUCCCACUUCCCAGCCCUCAUUUGACCAAGUCCCAUAGUCCCAGCCUAUGUUUUGCUUAAAUCUCAAUCCCAUUCCCAUUUUUUGAUUGUUUUUCUUUUUGGUUUUUGAAUCCCAUUCCCAGUGCAUAAAAUCCCAUUUUACCCCAUUUUACCCUUUCAGGACUCUCCUCACACUCAUCAUAUGAUGUUYGUUUUAUUGGAUGAUUUGACGACGAGACAAGGGAACCGGCAUGCGCAACAGAGACAUGCCACAUACUUGGCAACAGUAUUUGGAGUAGUAGCAUCUUUCGCCUCUAUAUUACCAACUUCAGUGAACGUAUGGGACCGACUUAGAAAAAGAAAAAGACUUCUGCACAUGCGCACUUUUUGAUUUCGAUAUUUUUUAAUUCUCAAGAGAAUUCAUGUUAUGCUUACAUGUCAGUAACCCUGAAUCUUUCCAUGUGGGUUCCUAAAUGUUUGCGUCAUAUCUCACCACACAUGCGCAAUGUUUCUUUUCUCAAUAUUUCUUCUCAGGCACCACACAGCGCAAUUUUUCUUCCUUUUUUUUUUUUUUUUUUUUUUUUUUUUUUUUUUUUGUUUUUGUUUUUUUUGUUUGAUCACAUUGUUUCUUUUCGAUCAUAGAGACUACGCAAACAAGCGCAAUGUUUUUUUCAUCUUAAAUAUCCGCUAUUUUUCAUUUUUAUCAUAGAGAAUCCAAGCUCUGAGUACAUGAUCAGCUAUCAGCCUUCUCAUGUGGGAUCCAAAUUGUCUGGGCCACACCCCACUUUAGAUUAUUUUUUUUGAGCUUUAAUUCUUAGGCCACUUAAUAUAUUUAUAUUCUGAUUUCAAUAAAUAAAGUACAACACUUUUCAGUUUACAAUUAUUUUUUUAUUACCUUCAUUUACACAAAGAUACACAAAAGCCUUCACAAGUAAUUUUUUUUCUUGAAUUUUUCUUCCGUUUAUCAUGAGUUCUUUUUCUGCUGAUAAAUUAAAAAAUUAAAUUUAGAUUAUUAAAUUAUUAAAUUAAAAAUUGAUAGUUAAGUUAUAAUGAGUUACAUGUUUUCAUUCGUUUUUUCCUCGGACUCGAAUGGCUAUAUAUAUGAAGGAUCAUGGAAAAAUCAUUUACGACAACAAUUGUAAUAAGCCUGAAGCAAGAUGAUGUUUUACCCCCGACCCUAUACCAUAAUAGUUUUUAAAAUUCUUUCAUAUCAAAAUUUUUGAUUCCUUAGA